This 501-nucleotide ribosomal RNA is filed under the name uncultured bacterium. RNAcentral's name for it is "partial 16S ribosomal RNA". It matches the Rfam family "Bacterial small subunit ribosomal RNA", at positions 30 to 523 of the family's 1533-position model. The record is from RNAcentral.
AUUGAACGCUGGCGGCAGGCUUAACACAUGCAAGUCGAGCGGGGGAAGGUAGCUUGCUACCGGACCUAGCGGCGGACGGGUGAGUGAUGCUUAGGAAUCUGCCUAUUAGUGGGGGACAACAUCUCGAAAGGGAUGCUAAUACCGCAUACGUCCUACGGGAGAAAGCAGGGGAUCUUCGGACCUUGCGCUAAUAGAUGAGCCUAAGUCGGAUUAGCUAGUUGGUGGGGUAAAGGCCUACCAAGGCGACGAUCUGUAGCGGGUCUGAGAGGAUGAUCCGCCACACUGGGACUGAGACACGGCCCAGACUCCUGCGGGAGGCAGCAGUGGGGAAUAUUGGACAAUGGGGGGAACCCUAAUCCAGCCAUGCCGCGUGUGUGAAGAAGGCCUUAUGGUUGUAAAGCACUUUAAGCGAGGAGGAGGCUACUUUAGUUAAUACCUAGAGAUAGUGGACGUUACUCGCGGAAUAAGCACCGGCUAACUCUGUGCCAGCCGCCGCCGUAA